Rhagoletis zephyria (snowberry fruit fly) is the source of this 653-nucleotide long non-coding RNA. RefSeq lists it as uncharacterized. The record is from RefSeq and is a predicted model, not a curated record. NCBI's taxonomy places the organism in Eukaryota, Metazoa, Arthropoda, Insecta, Diptera, Tephritidae.
ACCGCUACUACAGUCUUUUGCAAACUUAGUCAUGGAGCGAUACUCAGUUGAACAACGCUUAAAAGUGAUCCAAACAUUAAUGCCGAUUUAAAAAAAAGCUUCAUGUGGGAUGGGGCGCACUUAACUGCACCCACUGCAAAAGGAAAAAAACUAUGCACCCACAACGAGUCGCGUUUGGCGUGGUUUUUCUCAUGGCGGAGCCUUCGGACCUGACUUCGGUGCCACUUGCUACACACUGGAGGCAAAGUUGGAGAAAUUAAGAAUUUGACGACGUGUUAUCACCACAUGCAUGGAUUGCUCAUAUCAAGCACAUAAGCUAAACACACAUAAGCUUUGGAUCUACUUAUAUAUUGAAUUAUAAUUUACGGGUAUUAAACAAGCUGGACAACUUGACAACAUUUUAUCCACUGGUGCGUUUUUAAUUUGGCUAUGAUCGACAUUUUACGCAUUGUUGUGGCAACAGUUCCUUUUAGAUGAAUUCCACACGUUUGAACACCUACAAAAACGCUGAAAAGGUCUUACGUGUUCCGUAACUAGAAUAAGAUAUAUAUACAAUAAAAUAAGGAAAAUUUUCGCUUAACAAGUUUUUCCUGAACAUACUCAUAUUUGUACAAACAUAUGCUCGCCACCGCACAAGAGCCCAAUCAAUCACA